UCCCUGGUGGCUCAGAUGGUAAAGCGUCUGCCUGCAAUGCAGGAGACCUGGAUUCGAUCCCUGGGUUGGGAA
RNAcentral lists this transfer RNA (72 nucleotides) under Capra hircus (goat). It matches the Rfam family "tRNA". Rfam says of the family: Transfer RNA (tRNA) molecules are approximately 80 nucleotides in length. Their secondary structure includes four short double-helical elements and three loops (D, anti-codon, and T loops). Further hydrogen bonds mediate the characteristic L-shaped molecular structure. tRNAs have two regions of fundamental functional importance: the anti-codon, which is responsible for specific mRNA codon recognition, and the 3' end, to which the tRNAs corresponding amino acid is attached (by aminoacyl-tRNA synthetases). tRNAs cope with the degeneracy of the genetic code in two manners: having more than one tRNA (with a specific anti-codon) for a particular amino acid; and 'wobble' base-pairing, i.e. permitting non-standard base-pairing at the 3rd anti-codon position. Lineage: Eukaryota; Metazoa; Chordata; Mammalia; Artiodactyla; Bovidae. RNAcentral also lists the same sequence under 1 other name. The record is from Rfam by way of RNAcentral.